This 294-nucleotide ribosomal RNA is filed under the name Psyllaephagus sp. PII. RNAcentral describes it as "partial 16S ribosomal RNA". Lineage: Eukaryota; Metazoa; Arthropoda; Insecta; Hymenoptera; Encyrtidae. The record is from RNAcentral.
CUUUAUAAAUUUAAUUGUUUUAAAUUUUAUUUUAAGUAAAAAUUCUUAAAAAUUUAUAAAAGACGAGAAGACCCUAUAGAAUUUUAUAAAAUUAAUUUGUUAUAGUUAUUUUGUUUUUAAAUUUAUAUAUUUUUUGAUUUUAUUUUAUUGGGGAUAUAUAAAAAUUUAUUUAAAUUUUUAAUUUUAAAUUUAUUUAGUUAAUAAAUUUUAUUAAUUAAUAUUAUUAUAUAUAAAUUAAAUUACCUUAGGGAUAACAGCGUAAUAUUUUUUAUAAGUUCAUAUUGGUAAAAAUGU